RNAcentral lists this ribosomal RNA (560 nucleotides) under Saturnispora silvae. Its description in RNAcentral is "partial large subunit ribosomal RNA". It matches the Rfam family "Eukaryotic large subunit ribosomal RNA", at positions 68 to 664 of the family's 3401-position model. The record is from RNAcentral. Lineage: Eukaryota; Fungi; Ascomycota; Pichiomycetes; Pichiales; Pichiaceae.
ACGGGCAUUGCCUCAGUAGCGGCGAGUGAAGCGGCAAAAGCUCCAUUUUGAAAGCUCUUCGGAGCGUUGUAGAUUGGUGGGAAGCUAACGGCUGGUGGGAGACCAAGUCCUCUGGAACGAGGCGCCAUAGAGGGUGAGAGCCCCGUGUGUCUCCUUUACCGACCUUUCAGCCCCCUCCGCGGAGUCGAGUUGUUUGGGAAUGCAGCUCUAAGUGGGUGGUAAAUUCCAUCUAAGGCUAAAUAUUGGCGAGAGACCGAUAGCGAACAAGUACAGUGAUGGAAAGAUGAAAAGCACUUUGAAAAGAGAGUGAAACAGUACGUGAAAUUGUUGAAAGGGAAGGGUAUUUGGCCCGACAUGGGUCCUAUGCACCGUUGCCUCUCGUGGGCGGCGCUCUGCUUGGGCCUGGGCCAGCGUCAGUUUGGAGGGGGCGAGAAGGGUUUUGGGGAGUUGCCUAGCAAUUCCCCUUUGCUAGAUUGCCCCACACCGGACUGAGGACCGCCAUCUGUAGGAUGCUGGCACAACGGCCAAAUACCGCCCGUCUUGAAMMAMSRRRAAMCAAA